AUUUAAGCAAUUAAGGGCUUAGGCUGGAUACCUUGGCGCUCAGAAGCGAUGAAGGGCGUGUCUACCAGCGAAAUGCUUCGGGGAGCUGGACGUAAGCUUUGAUCCGGAGGUUCCCGAAUGAGGAAACUUUUUAUACUGUACAUCUAAUUCAUAGGUGUACGAGAGCUAACCUGGAGAACUGAAACAUCUUAGUAUCCAGAGGAAAAUAAAGCAAUAGCGAUUCCCAUAGUAGCGGCGAGCGAAAAGGGAACAGCCUAAACCAUCUUCGCGGGUGGGGUUGUGGGACGGCAUGUGCUUUGGUAGUUAUGGUUAGGAGAAACUUUUGGAAUGAAGUACCGCAGAAGGUGAUGGUCCUGUACCCGAAAGCCUGUUACUAUUCUAUGCUGUAUCCCAAGUAGCAUGGGCCACGUGGAAUCCCGUGUGAAUCUGCGAGGACCACCUCGUAAGGCUAAAUAUUCCUGAGCGACCGAUAGCGUACAAGUACCGUGAGGGAAAGGUGAAAAGAACCCCGGAAGGGGAGUGAAAAAGAGCAUGAAAGCGUAAGUCUACAAGCAGUGGAAGGACGACUAAACGUUCGACUUCGUACCUGUUGAAGAAUGAGCCGGCGACUUAUAGGCAGUGGCAGGUUAAGGUGUUACUACUGGAGCCAUAGUGAAAGCGAGCUUUAAUAGAGCGUUGGUCACUGUUUAUAGACCCGAACCCGGAUGAUCUAACCAUGGCCAGUGUGAAGCGUAGGUAACACUCCGUGGAGGCGCGAACCGACUAAUGUUGAAAAAUUAGCGGAUGAGCUGUGGUUAGUGGUGAAAUGCCAAUCGAAUUCGGAGCUAGCUGGUUCUCCCCGAAAUGCGUUUAGGCGCAGCGGUCAGCGCUAUAGCUUAGGGGUAAAGCACUGUUUCGGUGCGGGCUGUUAACACGGUACCAAAUCGAUGCAAACUCUGAAUACUAAGUGCGUAGCUGACCAGUAAGACUGUGGGGGAUAAGCUCCAUUGUCAAGAGGGAAACAGCCCAGACCACCGGCUAAGGCCCCUAAAUGAUUGCUAAGUGAUAAAGGAUGUGGGAAUGCUUAAACAGUCAGGAGGUUCGCCUAGAAGCAGCUAUCCUUUAAAGAGUGCGUAAUAGCUCACUGAUCUAGUGCGCCUGCGCCGAAAAUGAACGGGACUAAGCAGUCUGCCGAAGCUGUGGGAUUUUUAUAGAUCGGUAGGGGAGCGUUCCACCGUAGGUAGAAGCAUUAGUGUAAACGGGUGUGGACGAAGUGGAAGUGAGAAUGUCGGCUUGAGUAGCGAACACAUUGGUGAGAAUCCAAUGCCCCGUAAACCUAAGGUUUCCUCCGGUAGGCUCGUCCGCGGAGGGUGAGUCAGGACCUAAGAUGAGGCCGAAAGGCGUAGUCGAUGGCGAACUGGUUAAUAUUCCUGUACUAUUUACUAUUGAUUCUGAGGGACGGAGAAGGCUAUGCUAUCCGGGUGCGGAUUUCCCGGUUCAAGUAUGCGAGGUGUUGAGAGGUGGAGAAAACAUCUUGAGCUGAGCUGCGAGUACGAUAGGUGUUUCUACACUGAAGUGGUUGAUGUCAUGCUUCCAAGAAAAGCUCUAUGUAUCUUAAGUAGUAAAUACCUGUACCUUAAACCGACACAGGUAGGUUAGUAGAGUAUACUAAGGGGCGCGAGAUAACUCUCUCUAAGGAACUCGGCAAAAUAGCCUCGUAACUUCGGGAGAAGAGGUACCCGUAAAAGGGUUGCAAUAUCUAGACCCUGGCGACUGUUUAACAAAAACACAGGUCUCCGCUAAUUCGUAAGAAUAUGUAUGGGGGCUGACGCCUGCCCAGUGCCGGAAGGUUAAGGAAGUUGGUUAGCUGUAAGGCAAGGCUAGCGACUGAAGCCCCGGUGAACGGCGGCCGUAACUAUGACGGUCCUAAGGUAGCGAAAUUCCUUGUCGGGUAAGUUCCGACCCGCACGAAAGGCGUAACGAUCAGGGUGCUGUCUCAGAGAGAGACUCGGUGAAAUAGACAUGUCUGUGAAGAUGCGGACUACCUGCACCUGGACAGAAAGACCCUAUGAAGCUUUACUGCAUCUUGAGAUGAGUUUUGGUCUUGUUGCGCAGGAUAGGUGGGAGGCUUUGAGUAAACUCUUGCGGGAGUUUAGGAGCUGCUAGUGAGAUACCACUCUAGUAACACUGAAUCUCUAACUGUAUAUCAUUAGCUGAUUAUAGGACAUUCUCAAGUGGGUAGUUUGACUGGGGCGGUCGCCUCCUAAAAGGUAACGGAGGCGCGCAAAGGUUUCCUCAGACUGGUUGGACAUCAGUUAUUGAGUGUAAAGGCAUAAGGAAGCUUGACUGCGAGACUUACAAGUCGAGCAGAGACGAAAGUCGGCCUUAGUGAUCCGACGGUUCUGAGUGGAAGGGCCGUCGCUCAACGGAUAAAAGUUACUCUAGGGAUAACAGGCUGAUCUCCCCCAAGAGUUCACAUCGACGGGGAGGUUUGGCACCUCGAUGUCGGCUCAUCGCAUCCUGGGGCGGUAGUACGUCCCAAGGGUUGGGCUGUUCGCCCAUGAAAGCGGUACGUGAGCUGGGUUCAGAACGUCGUGAGACAGUUCGGUCCAUAUCCGGUGUAGGCGUUAGAGUAUUGAGAGGAUUUCCCCUUAGUACGAGAGGACCGGGGGGAAUACACCUCUGGUGUACCAGUUAUUAUGUCAGUGGUAAACGCUGGGUAGCUAUGUGUAGUGUGGAUAACUGCUGAAAGCAUCUAAGUAGGAAGCCCACCUCAAGAUGAGUACUCUUCCCAUUAUGUGGGUAAGAUCACGGUAAGAUUAACCGUUUGAUAGGCAUUAGGUGUAUGCUACAGUAAUGUACGAAGCCGAGAUGUACUAAUAGAUCGAGAGCUUAAAAUU
Molecule: ribosomal RNA, 2879 nt
Filed under: Cryptomonas paramaecium
Lineage: Eukaryota; Cryptophyceae; Cryptomonadales; Cryptomonadaceae
Description: bacterial LSU rRNA
Rfam family: Bacterial large subunit ribosomal RNA
Source: RNAcentral